Molecule: RNA transcript, 4935 nt
Organism: Quercus lobata
Lineage: Eukaryota; Viridiplantae; Streptophyta; Magnoliopsida; Fagales; Fagaceae
Gene name: putative receptor-like protein kinase At3g47110
Exons: 4
Source: RefSeq, a predicted model, not a curated record
AGUUAAUCAAUUUCCUCCGGACUGGCAGCUCUUGAAAAAAAGGCAUUGGGGUCUAUCUUUUGCCCGUUUCCCGGAGCUCUCUCUCUCACCCAAAGGAGUAAUCUGCUAAUAAUCAGCCUUCAUUGCACGGCAUCAAAUAUUUCAUUUUCCCCAAAUUCCUGUUUCUCCAAACCAAAUGACGCUUCACCAAACCAAUUCGUGUGCAUCUUGUUCCAUAUACCUUCAUGUGAUUCUCUUCCUUUUUAUAAUCCUGCUCUGCUUGCAACCAACCACUGCAGCCCCUGCUCCAACAAAUGAGACCGAUCGUUUGGCUUUGCUCCAAUUUAAAGAAUCUGUAACUUAUGAUCCAUAUCAAAUUUUGAGUUCAUGGAAUGCCUCUGUGAACUUCUGCAAUUGGCUUGGAAUAACAUGCGAUGUUCGACACCAAAGAGUCACGGCCUUGGACCUACCGGGCUACGACUUUGGUGGAUCUCUAUCACCUUACAUCGGCAACCUAAGCUUUCUUAGGUCCAUCAAACUCCAAAACAACAGAUUCUAUGGUGAAAUACCACCCGACUUGUCCAACUGCUCCAAUCUCAGAUUCAUACAUCUUCAUGUGAAUAACUUUACAGGGAAAAUUCCAAUGGAGCUAGGCUCUCUAAUGAAACUUGAAGAACUUCAACUCCUCAAAAACAAUUUGGCAGGAGGGAUCCCACCUUCCCUAGGAAAUCUUUCUUCGCUCAAAUCUUUCGCUGCAGAGUACAAUAACCUGGAGGGAAAUAUUCCAGAUACCAUAGGCCGAUUAGAAGGCUUAGUAGUUUUCUCAAUUCUCAUGAAUAAAUUGUCAGGUAUGAUCCCUUCCUCUCUUUACAACGUGUCAUCUCUCCAAAUAUUUUCAGUUGCAGACAACCAACUUAAUGGCACACUUCCAACAAACAUAGGCCUUAAUCUUCCUAAUCUCCAAGUUCUUCAAUUUGGUGGGAAUGAGUUCUCUGGGCCAAUCCCUACUUCAUUAUGCAAUGCAACUCACCUUCAAAAAAUUGAUUUAGGUAUGAACAAUUUUCUGGGAUCAGUUCCAACUAAUCUUGGAAAUUUGUUGGAUCUUUUCUGGCUAGGUUUGAAUGGCAAUUACCUAGGAAAGAGCCUCCAUUUCUUAACAUCGCUAACAAAUUGUAGCAAACUGGUCUCCGUGGAUUUAAGAGAAAACCAAUUUCAAGGUGUUUUGCCCAAUUCUAUAGCCAACUUGUCAACCAACCUCACUAAAUUAUAUUUUGGAGGCAAUGAAAUAUCUGGAACUAUUCCUGCAUCAUUAGAGAAUCUUGUCAACUUAAUUGGCUUAGGCAUGGAUUAUAAUCACUUCAGUGGCACCAUUCCUACUAGCUUCGGGAGGUUUCAGAAGAUGCAACUGUUGGCUUUAGGUGGAAACAAAUUGUCUGGAGAAAUACCAACCUUCAUAGGCAACCUUACUCAGUUGUUCCGACUCGAGUUACAAGAAAACAGAUUCGAAGGAACCAUACCUCCAAGUAUUGUACACUGCCCAAAUUUGCAGAUCUUGGACGUUUCACAAAAUAACCUUAAUGGAUCCAUACCCCUGGAGCUUAUUGGUCCUUCUUCCCUUACGCUAAUUUUCCUCAAUUUAUCUUACAACUCAUUGACUGGCAAACUGCCAUCUGAAGUAGGUAACCUGGAAAAUAUCAACAAACUGGAUGUUUCUAACAAUAAUUUGUUGGGUGAAAUUCCGCCAUCUAUCGGAGCUUGUUUGACUUUGGAACACCUUAACCUGCAAGGGAAUUCCUUUAUAGGACCCAUUCCAUCAUCUAUGGCUUCUUUGAGAGGUCUUCAACUUCUAGAUGUUUCACAAAAUAACCUAUCAGGAUCCAUUCCAGACGAUUUCAAGAAGCUUCCUUUUUUAGAAAGUUUAAAUCUUUCGUUUAAUAAUUUUGAGGGUGAGGUACCAACUGAAGGAGUUUUUAAUAGCACAAAUGCAAUAUCAUUGAUUGGAAAUGCUAGACUUUGUGGUGGUAUACCAAACUUGAAGUUGCCAAAAUGUCUUGUAAAAGUCAUGAAACGAGGGAAGUCCAGUGGCUUCAGAGUAGCAAUUAUUAUUAUUCCCAUUAUUCUAUUUAUUUGCUUGCUACCAUCAUUUCUUGUUCUCUAUUGGAUAAAAAAAUCAAAAAGGGAUUCACUAUCUAUGGUUUCAAUGGUCCCCCGUGAUUUUAUAUACGGAGAACAUUAUCAAGCACUAGAACCCCGUAAUGUUACUUACAAAGAACUCUAUCAGGCAACUAGUGGAUUUUCUUCAAAUAAUUUAAUUGGAUCUAGCAGAUUUGGCUCUGUAUAUAAAGGAGCUCUUAAUGGGAAUGAAACUCUAGUUGCUAUAAAGGUCCUUAACCUUCAACAGAGGGGAGCUUCCAAAAGUUUCAUGGCUGAAUGCAAUGCAUUACGAAGUAUUCGGCAUCGGAAUCUUGUUAAAAUAAUAACAUGUUGCUCUCACAUGGAUCAUUGUGGAAAUGAAUUCAAAGCUCUAGUGUUUGAAUUCAUGACAAAUGGGAGCUUAGAUGUUUGGUUGCAUCCAGGGCUAGACAACGAAAAUCAAUCAAGGAACUUGAGCCUUCUUCAAAGACUAAAUGUUGCAAUUGAUGUGGCUACUGCUAUAAAUUAUCUUCACAACCAUUCUGUGCUACCAAUUAUUCACUGUGAUUUAAAGCCAAGUAAUAUUCUUCUUGACAAUGACAUGGUUGCUCAUAUAAGUGAUUUUGGCUUAGCAAGGUUCGGCUCAACUAUUGAAGAUUCUUGUUUAAAGGAAACUAUUACAAGUGGGCUAAAGGGAUCUAUUGGCUAUGUUGCUCCAGAGUAUGGCAUGGGCUAUGACACUUCAACAAAGGGAGACGUGUAUAGCUAUGGAAUAAUUAUAUUAGAGAUGUUCUUAGGGAAGCGGCCCACUGACAAAAUGUUUAAAGAUGGUCUCAAUCUCCACUAUUAUGCUAAGAUGGCAGUGGCACAGCCAGAAAGACUUGUUCAAAUUGUAGAUCCAAUCCUUGGAAGAGAAGUUGAAGAAAUGCCAACAACAACAGUAAAUAGAGAAGAUAAUAAUGAAAAUGAAAUGGAAGCAAAUGAAGAAAUUCAUGAUAUUGUCAACCUGUGCCAAAUGGAUGCUAUUGUGCGUGAGUGCUUAGUCCCAAUACUUAAACUUGGACUGGCUUGUUCAGUGCAGUCGCCAAAAGAAAGAAUGAAUAUGGAGGAAGUUACCAGGAUAUUACAUUUGAUAAAAAAUGCUUAUCUUAGUUCUAGGAUUUGAAGAGGUGGACCUUUAUCUAGUGGAAUCCAAGUUGAGGUUCUUCUUUUAGCAACUUGGCUCUUUUGCUUGAUAUCAAUGGCAGCAACACCAACUCUGUUUUCUUUGCUUGUCCAUCAUGAUCCAACAACAUCGGUCAUUCAUGAUGUUGAUAGGAAUCCGUAUUUAUAUAUGGAUAUGUGUCAAGAUGUAUUAGAGACUGCACUUGUGGACUUGCCUACAAACAUAAGUGCAGACACCAACAUCAAGUGUGAAAUACCAAAUUCAAUGGACAUCAUGAAUGUGAAUAAUGAUAUUGAUAUGCUACGUAUAUUUGAUGCAUAUGAAGAUGAAGGGCGUCAUAAAAUUCACAUUCAUGUUUCGUUUGCGCUUAAUGAUCCUCGGUGCACUACUUCUCAACCCAGUCAAGAACAAGCUAUAGUUGGUACGACUUCUUUAUCUGAAGAUCCUGAUUUUAGUGACUUUUUUGGCAAUGAUGUUUUGGCUGGGGCUGCUAUGAAUUUUAGCCAUGACAUUAAUGUCGUUAAGUGGAAAGAGGUUACUAAUGAAAUGCUAUUGGCAUUGGCUAGUCCCAAUACAUUAAUGUCAUCAGGAAAUUUUUCAUUGAAAUCUUCCUACUUAACAGAGCACGGUGGUAGAUUUGAUCGGAAGUAUGACAAAGUUUGGAAGAAGUUAAGGGAAAGUAAAUUGCAUGGAAGACUAAAUAUGUUUCUGUGGAGGCUUGCAAAAGGAGAGCCACCCCUUAAAACCCGAUUGGCAAAUAAUAGCAUAGGGUGUGAGGAUCUUGCGUGCUGUGUGGGGAAGCAGAGGAAUCAGAGCUACAUGUGUUCCGUGAUUGUAUAGUGAUUAGAAUGUUGUGGUUUGCCUCUGAGAUUGGCUUGAGAUGGGAUCAUUUUGAGGCUAAUUCUGCUGUGGAGUUAGUACAAAAGAUAUUAAACCCCCCUAAGGAGUUAAGAACUGAUGGUUUAAAUCAAAAUAAGUUCCCUUUAAUGGCAGCUGUGAUUUGCUACGAAACAUGGAGGAUGCGAAAUUUGAUGCUUUCUAAAAAUGUAAAGUUUGACCUAAUGGAAUUCCCUUGGAGAAUUAAGUCUGCUUUGGAAAGAUUUUCUCCAAGAAAGGAAAAUGAUGGGCAAUGUAAAGAAAGAGAGAAGGAAGAAGGGUGGUGUACACCUCCAAGAUCAAUGCUGAUGCUUCUUGGAGUGAAGGGAAGGCAAGUGUUGCUGGUUUGGCAAGAAACUGUAGAGGUGAAGUUUUGAAGGCAUGGGCUAAACAGGUGGAUGCUGAUUCUGUGGCAAUAGCUGAAUGCUUGGCUAUUGGACUAGCAAUUCAAGCUGCAAUCAAAGAAGGCUAUGAGCAAGUUAAGAUAGAAGGGGAUGCAAAGAUUGUUUUUGAUGCUCUCUGCAACAUUGGUCAAUCGGUAUGCUGGGAGCUUCAUCAGUAUGUUGAAAUGAUUAGAAGUGUAGUUAAGGAGAGUGAGACUCCUAAAUUCUGUUUUAACUGGGUUCCUAGGAUUUUGAACAAAAGUGCUGAUGCAUUGGUUAAAUGGGCCUCACGUUCAUUUUUUUUCUGGUAGUUUAGUUGCUGAGACUCUCCCAAUUUCUGUUUCUGAUGUUGUUGCUCUUGAGAGGGUCUCUUCUUGUUGUACUGUGUAAUUCUGUUUU